Molecule: ribosomal RNA, 397 nt
Filed under: uncultured bacterium
Lineage: Bacteria
Description: bacterial SSU rRNA
Rfam family: Bacterial small subunit ribosomal RNA
Source: RNAcentral
AUUGAACGCUGGCGGCAUGCCUUACACAUGCAAGUCGAACGGUAACGGGCCUUCGGGUGCCGACGAGUGGCGAACGGGUGAGUAAUGCAUCGGAACGUACCUUUCAGUGGGGGAUAACGUAGCGAAAGUUACGCUAAUACCGCAUAUUCUGUGAGCAGGAAAGCAGGGGAUCGCAAGACCUUGCGCUGAUUGAGCGGCCGAUGUCAGAUUAGCUAGUUGGUGAGGUAAAGGCUCACCAAGGCGACGAUCUGUAGCGGAUCUGAGAGGAUGAUCCGCCACACUGGAACUGAGACACGGUCCAGACUCCUACGGGAGGCAGCAGUGGGGAAUUUUGGACAAUGGGGGCAACCCUGAUCCAGCCAUGCCGCGUGAGUGAAGAAGGCCUCGGUUGUAAGAC